CGUCUAGGCGGUCAGGUAAGUGGGAUGUGAAAUGCCCCGGCUCACCUGGGGACCGGCAUCUCAUACUGCUUGGCUUGAGUACGGGAGAGGAUGUGGGAAUUCCUGGUGUAGCGGUGAGAUGCGUAGAUAUCAGGAGGAACACCGGUGGCGAAGGCGCACAUCUGGCCCGAUACUGACGCUGAAGCGCGAAAGCUAGGGGAGCAAACG
This 207-nucleotide ribosomal RNA is filed under the name uncultured bacterium. Its description in RNAcentral is "partial 16S ribosomal RNA". It matches the Rfam family "Bacterial small subunit ribosomal RNA", at positions 568 to 774 of the family's 1533-position model. The record is from RNAcentral.